GAGUAACACGUAUCCAACCUUCCGUUUACUCAGGGAUAGCCUUUCGAAAGAAAGAUUAAUACCUGAUAGUAUGGUGAGAUUGCAUGAUAGCACCAUUAAAGAUUUAUUGGUAAACGAUGGGGAUGCGUUCCAUUAGGUAGUAGGCGGGGUAACGGCCCACCUAGCCGACGAUGGAUAGGGGUUCUGAGAGGAAGGUCCCCCACAUUGGAACUGAGACACGGUCCAAACUCCUACGGGAGGCAGCAGUGAGGAAUAUUGGUCAAUGGGCGAGAGCCUGAACCAGCCAAGUAGCGUGAAGGAUGAAGGUCCUACGGAUUGUAAACUUCUUUUAUACGGGAAUAAAGUAUCCUACGUGUAGGAUUUUGUAUGUACCGUAUGAAUAAGCAUCGGCUAACUCCGUGCCAGCAGCCGCGGUAAUACGGAGGAUGCGAGCGUUAUCCGGAUUUAUUGGGUUUAAAGGGAGCGCAGACGGGAGAUUAAGUCAGUUGUGAAAGUUUGCGGCUCAACCGUAAAAUUGCAGUUGAUACUGGUUUCCUUGAGUGCAGUUGAGGCAGGCGGAAUUCGUGGUGUAGCGGUGAAAUGCUUAGAUAUCACGAAGAACCCCGAUUGCGAAGGCAGCUUGCUAAACUGUAACUGAC
Molecule: ribosomal RNA, 638 nt
Filed under: uncultured bacterium
Lineage: Bacteria
Description: bacterial SSU rRNA
Rfam family: Bacterial small subunit ribosomal RNA
Source: RNAcentral